GACGAACGCUGGCGGCGUGCCUAACACAUGCAAGUCGAGCGGGGAUUUAAGUGGAAGUUCUUCGGAAUGGAGAUUUAAAUUCUAGCGGCGGACGGGUGAGUAACGCGUGAACAAUCUGUCCCGGACAGGGGGAUAACACUUGGAAACAGGUGCUAAUACCGCAUCAGACCACGGCCUCGCAUGGGGCUGAGGUGAAAGGAGCAAUCCGGUUCGGGGUGAGUUCGCGUCCGAUUAGCUAGUUGGUGAGGUAACGGCCCACCAAGGCGACGAUCGGUAGCCGGCCUGAGAGGGUGAACGGCCACAUUGGAACUGAGAGACGGUCGAAACGCCUACGGGAGGCAGCAGUGGGGAAUAUUGGGCAAUGGGCGAAAGCCUGACCCAGCAACGCCGCGUGAGGGAAGAAGGUUUUCGGAUUGUAAACCUCUGUCCUAUGGGACGAAGGAAGUGACGGUACCAUAGGAGGAAGCCCCGGCUAACUACGUG
This 483-nucleotide ribosomal RNA is filed under the name uncultured bacterium. RNAcentral describes it as "partial 16S ribosomal RNA". It matches the Rfam family "Bacterial small subunit ribosomal RNA", at positions 28 to 507 of the family's 1533-position model. The record is from RNAcentral.